Synchiropus splendidus (mandarinfish) is the source of this 541-nucleotide non-coding RNA. The record is from the annotation of a RefSeq genome assembly. NCBI's taxonomy places the organism in Eukaryota, Metazoa, Chordata, Actinopteri, Syngnathiformes, Callionymidae.
CAUGUUCUCUGUUGCUCUGCUGCUGCUGUUUACAGCUGGAUCCUGGGUCCAGUGUCAGCAGCUCACCCAGCCUCCCUCUGAGAACCUACAGCCGGGUCAGCGUCUGACCAUCACCUGUCAGGUCUCCUAUUCUGUUAGUAGCUAUUGGACAGCCUGGAUCAGACAGCCUGCUGCAGGAACACUGGAGUGGAUCGGGCAGAAAUAUACGUCAAGCACCUACUAUAAAGAGUCACUGAAAAGCAAAUUCAGAAUCGAUGAUGAUUCCUCCAACAACAGAGUGACUCUGACCGGAGAGAACAUGCAGCCUGGAGACUCAGGCGUCUAUUACUGUGCCAGAGACCCACAACAACACAAAACACCAGCAGACCUGAACAAAAACCCACAAACCACCAGAGGGGGAGUCACAGACCAGCAGCCACUGUCAAACAUCUCCACUCUCAUUCACCAACAACUUGUUCACAACAAUAAUAAUCACAUGGGGUCCAGUGUGAGCAGCUCACCCAGCCUCCCUCUGAGAACCUACAGCCGGGUCAGCAUCUGA